UACGUAGGGGGCAAGCGUUGUCCGGAUUCAUUGGGCGUAAAGAGCGUGUAGGCGGCCAGGUAGGUCGGUUGUGAAAACUGGAGGCUCAACCUUCAGAGGUCGACCGAAACCAUCUGGCUAGAGUCCGGGAGAGGAGAGUGGAAUUCCUGGUGUAGCGGUGAAAUGCGCAGAUAUCAGGAAGAACACCCGUGGCGAAAGCGGCUCUCUGGAACGGUACUGACGCUGAGACGCGAAAGCCGUGGGGAGCGAACAGG
RNAcentral lists this ribosomal RNA (254 nucleotides) under uncultured bacterium. Its description in RNAcentral is "partial 16S ribosomal RNA". It matches the Rfam family "Bacterial small subunit ribosomal RNA", at positions 524 to 776 of the family's 1533-position model. The record is from RNAcentral.